RNAcentral lists this ribosomal RNA (468 nucleotides) under Cryptococcus sp. NFMay08DNXL-Y5. RNAcentral's name for it is "LSU rRNA". It matches the Rfam family "Eukaryotic large subunit ribosomal RNA", at positions 136 to 611 of the family's 3401-position model. Lineage: Eukaryota; Fungi; Basidiomycota; Tremellomycetes; Tremellales; Cryptococcaceae. The record is from RNAcentral.
AUCCGAAUUGUAAUCUAUAGAAAAGUUUUCCGCGCUGGACCGUGUCUAAGUCCCUUGGAACAGGGUGUCAGAGAGGGUGAGAAUCCCGUGCUUGAUACGACCACCAGUGCUAUGUGAUACUUUUUCAACGAGUCGAGUUGUUUGGGAAUGCAGCUCAAAAUGGGUGGUAAAUUCCAUCUAAAGCUAAAUAUUGGCGAGAGACCGAUAGCGAACAAGUACCGUGAGGGAAAGAUGAAAAGCACUUUGGAAAGAGAGUUAAACAGUACGUGAAAUUGUUAAAAGGGAAACGAUUGAAGUCAGUCGUGCUCUCUAGGACUCAGCCAGUUCUUCUGGUGUAUUUCCUAGUGAGCGGGUCAACAUCAGUUUAGAUCGCUGGAUAAGGUCAUUAGGAAUGUGGCUCCCUCGGGAGUGUUAUAGCCUAGUGUCGCAUACAGUGGUUUAGACUGAGGAACGCAGCUCGCCUUUAUG